CACAAACUCCAGAUGUCUGACUCCCUGAACCUGACCGUCCUAAUUAGCAGAGCCCUAAUCUUUCCUUGACCAUCUCCUGUUCAGAAGUAGAGAAGUUAUCCAUCAACAGUCCCUGCCUGGAAAGAGCUUGGCUUCUGCCCUCCACGUGGCAAGCAGAUUUCCUUUUAUCGAAGAGAAAACCUAGGUCAACCAGAAGAACACAAAUGGCUCAGACUAUUCCUCUACUGGACAGUGCUGCUCUGGGAUAUGAAGUACAACUACCUACCUUACUCAGUGUUUCUGGUGCCAGUCUGCUUGACCCAGGGCAAAUGAGUUGGUAUGCUAUUGCCAAAGUUGUUCAUGUCAGAAUCUGGACCCUGCCUGUCUUAACCAGCCAGAGUCCACCAGGAAGGCUGAGUGCUGCACAGAGCCCAGACAGAGCAGCCAUCAUUACUCCCUCCCUGCCACCUCCUGUCUUCUAUGCCUAGCUGUUUUCUAAGGAUCAGAAGAGGAUUUUCUCCCUUGUCUUUCUGGUUGGUUUCUGUAGUUUUGCAAUGAAGCCCUCAGUGAAGCACAGGCCCUUAACCCCCUGUGUCAGGCUCCACCAUGCCUGAGACAUGACGAGACCUAACUCUCAAAGACUCCUUGCUCCGGCCAAGUGUUAAGCUUUCAUGAGUAUUAAUUUUAAAAAUGCAGCAAUCGCUACCAGCAAUUACAAACAGCUUCAAGGACACAAGUUAUUAGCCAUUUUACCUAUGCCUGACCCUAGUUCAAGCGAUGUACUUCAUGAUGUCUAUUUGCUUCCAUUCUGGUUUCAAAUGAAAUGAAUAGGGGUGAAGCACACAACAAAAUUACAAAUAUCUCCUUUAGACAUGUUUCUUAACUCUUACCUCUCACUAGAUUAGAGAAACAACAAUGAAAUUAAAAACAGAACAGGGGUGAGAGGAAAGCGAUGAACAACCAAUAUUCUUUAGCUCUCCAAUUAUGCCAGGAGCCAUGCCAAAUGCUUUAGACUCUUUGACCCUAUCGAUCUCUGAGCCCCCAUGUAGCAGAUGAGAAACCUGAGGUGCACAGAAAUUCGUUUACUCAUCGUGGUUGUCUACCUGUAAAAUCACAACGCUAGAUGCUAACACUCGUCUCCAUAAAUACUACUCCAGGCUCCAAGCUUUGUUUGUUUCUAUGUUAAUGAUUCCUGCAUGCAAUUGUUGCUCCAACCUUAUCCCUGGGAGGUAUGAACACAUGGCGACUUAUGCCAGAUGAAACACUGGGGCAGACCAAAGGAAGAAUUCAACCCAAGUUUAACUUGGUAAUCUAAUGAGUUUAUAGCUAUACUUUCAGGGACAUGGGUAAAGGGUUAUACACUGAAUCAUUGAAACCCCUAAACGACUGUACCACAAGUCUCACCCCACCUUGGAUGAUGAUCUCAGAGUAGUAACAUCACAGACACCCUCAGUUAAACCUCUCCUUCCUUACUUAUUCUAGCAUUUCCAAAGAUCACUUGCAGCUGCGGUGGGAGGCAGAAGGAAGGAAUGGCUAGCAUCCCAAAUCAGGCUGCGAUGUCCUCCCUGACUUCUAAUAGGGAGUGUUAGCAGCUCUAUCAACAUGGCCAUAGCUAUCAUUGUAUUAUCCUGUUUAUUUGGUUGCCAUGGCUACUGAGCCAUGGUUCUCUUUAUUCCAAGAUGAGAUUUGAGUGUUCAUGCUAUGUCCAAAAGAAGAAGCCAUAGCACUAAUAGCUAAGGUUGCAAUUCAUUUCUGUCACUUUAUGUCUUGUAGUUUUAAUGAGAAAUGCUCCCCCCCCAGGGUCAUAUAAUCAAGCACUUGGUUCCUAGUUGGUGACAUUGGGGAGAGUAUGGAGCCAUUAGAAAGUGGCACCUUACUGGGAGGUGAGUAUUUUCCUCAGGGUGGACUUUGAUGGUUUAUAGUAUCACCCUGCUUCCUGUUACACACACACACACACACGCACACGCGCACACACACACACACGCACACGCACGUGCACU
This is a long non-coding RNA of Mus caroli (Ryukyu mouse), 1979 nucleotides long. RefSeq lists it as uncharacterized. The record is from RefSeq and is a predicted model, not a curated record. NCBI's taxonomy places the organism in Eukaryota, Metazoa, Chordata, Mammalia, Rodentia, Muridae.